AGGACGAACGCUGGCGGCGUGCUUAACACAUGCAAGUCGAGCGGAGAGGCCUUUCGGGGUACUCGAGCGGCGAACGGGUGAGUAACACGUGAGUAAUCUGCCCAUCGCUUCAGGAUAGCCAUCGGAAACGGUGAUUAAUACUGGAUAUGACAUUCCUUCGCAUGUUGGGGUGUGGAAAGUUUUUUCGGCGGUGGAUGUGCUCGCGGCCUAUCAGCUUGUUGGUGGGUAAUGGCCUACCAAGGCUUUGACGGGUAGCCGGCCUGAGAGGGUGACCGGCACGACUGGGACUGGAGACACGGCCCAGACUCCGUACGGGAGGCAGCAGUGGGGAAUAGUUGGACAAGUGGGCGAAGCCUGAUCCAGCAACGCCGCGUGAGGAUGACGGCCUUGGUUGUAACCGUCUUCACGCACAGACGUAGUUUGUCGUUUUUGGUAGUAGU
RNAcentral lists this ribosomal RNA (440 nucleotides) under uncultured soil bacterium. Its description in RNAcentral is "bacterial SSU rRNA". It matches the Rfam family "Bacterial small subunit ribosomal RNA", at positions 26 to 469 of the family's 1533-position model. The record is from RNAcentral.